This 72-nucleotide transfer RNA is filed under the name Alcaligenaceae bacterium. Its description in RNAcentral is "tRNA-Lys". The record is from RNAcentral. Lineage: Bacteria; Pseudomonadati; Pseudomonadota; Betaproteobacteria; Burkholderiales; Alcaligenaceae.
CAGCUCUAGAUUACCCGUAAAAACGGACUCUUAAUCCGUAGGUCGAGUGUUCGAGUCACUCAGGGCCCACCA